GCUUACGGCCAUACCAUACCACCCUGAACACGCCCGAUCUCGUCCGAUCUCGGAAGCUAAGCAGGGUCGGGCCGGGUCAGUACUUGGAUGGGAGACCGCCUGGGAAUACCCGGUGCUGUAAGCU
Perca flavescens (yellow perch) is the source of this 124-nucleotide ribosomal RNA. Lineage: Eukaryota; Metazoa; Chordata; Actinopteri; Perciformes; Percidae. The record is from RefSeq and is a predicted model, not a curated record.